UGAAUACGAGACGCUAAGGCGUCGAAGUAGUGUAUGUCAUACUUCCAAGAAAAGCUUGCACUGUCAUAAAUAGAAAAUGCCUGUACCAUAACCGACACAGGUGGGUAGGUAGAGUAUACUAAGGGGCGCAAGAUAACUCUCUAAGGAACUCGGCAAAAUGACUCCGUAACUUCGGGAGAAGGAGUGCCUUAUUUUUAAGGUUGCAAUAACAAGAUCCAAGCAACUGUUUAUCAAAAACACAGGUCUCCGCUAAGUCGUAAGACGAUGUAUGGGGGCUGACGCCUGCCCAGUGCCAGAAGGUUAAAGAAGUUGGUUAGCAUUAGCGAAGCUGAUAACUGAAGCCCUGGUGAACGGCGGCCGUAACGAUAACGGUCCUAAGGUAGCGAAAUUCCUUGUCGGGUAAGUUCCGACCCGCACGAAAGGCGUAAUGAUUUGGAUACUGUCUCGGAGAGGGGCUCGGUGAAAUAGACUUGUCUGUGAAGAUGCGGACUACCUGCACCUGGACAGAAAGACCCUAUGAAGCUUUACUGUAACUUGAAAUUGAAAUUGGACUUUAGUCGCGCAGCAUAGGUGGGAGGCGUUGAUGAUGUUCUUGCGGGAACAUUGGAGCUAUCAGUGAGAUACCACUCUUCUAAUGUUAGAUUUCUAACUUUGAACCAUUAUCUGGUCAGAGAACAGUUUCAGGCGGGCAGUUUGACUGGGGCGGUCGCCUCCCAAAUGGUAACGGAGGCGUACAAAGGUUUCCUCUGAACGGAUAGAAAUCGUAUCUAGAGUGUAAAGGCAUAAGGAAGCUUGACUGUGAGACCUACAAGUCGAGCAGGGACGAAAGUCGGUCUUAGUGAUCUGACGGUACUGAGUGGAAAGGCCGUCACUCAACGGAUAAAAGUUACUCUAAGGAUAACAGGCUGAUCUCCCCCAAGAGUUCACAUCGACGGGGAGGUUUGGCACCUCGAUGUCGGCUCAUCGCAUCCUGGGGCGGUAGUACGUCCCUAGGGUUGGGCUGUUCGCCCCUGAAAGCGGUACGCGAGCUGGGUUCAGAACGUCGUGAGACAGUUCGGUCCAUAUCCGGUGUAGGCGUUAGAAUAUUGAGAGGAGCCUUCUCUAGUACGAGAGGACCGAGAAGGACAUACCUCUGGUGUACCAGUUAUCGUGCCAACGGUAAACGCUGGGUAGCUAUGUAUGGAGUGGAUAACCGCUGAAAGCAUCUAAGUGGGAAGCCCACCUCAAGAUGAGUAUUCUCAUC
This 1243-nucleotide ribosomal RNA is filed under the name metagenome. Its description in RNAcentral is "bacterial LSU rRNA". It matches the Rfam family "Bacterial large subunit ribosomal RNA", at positions 1564 to 2818 of the family's 2925-position model. The record is from RNAcentral.